AGAGUUUGAUCCUGGCUCAGGAUGAACGCUAGCGGCAGGCUUAACACAUGCAAGUCGAGGGGUAUGGGUAGCUUGCUAUCCAGAGACCGGCGCACGGGUGCGUAACGCGUAUGCAAUCUACCUUUUACAGGGGGAUAGCCCAGAGAAAUUUGGAUUAAUACCCCAUGGUAUAUGUGAAUGGCAUCAUUUACAUAUUAAAGUCACAACGGUAAAAGAUGAGCAUGCGUCCCAUUAGCUAGUUGGUAAGGUAACGGCUUACCAAGGCUACGAUGGGUAGGGGUCCUGAGAGGGAGAUCCCCCACACUGGUACUGAGACACGGACCAGACUCCUACGGGAGGCAGCAGUGAGGAAUAUUGGACAAUGGGCGCAAGCCUGAUCCAGCCAUGCCGCGUGCAGGAUGACGGUCCUAUGGAUUGUAAACUGCUUUUGUACGGGAAGAAACACUCCUUCGUGAAGGAGCUUGACGGUACCGUAAGAAUAAGGAUCGGCUAACUCCGUGCCAGCAGCCGCGGUAAUACGGAGGAUCCAAGCGUUAUCCGGAAUCAUUGGGUUUAAAGGGUCCGUAGGCGGCCUGGUAAGUCAGUGGUGAAAGCCCAUCGCUCAACGGUGGAACGGCCAUUGAUACUGCCAGGCUUGAAUUUCCAGGAAGCAACUAGAAUAUGUAGUGUAGCGGUGAAAUGCUUAGAUAUUACAUGGAAUACCAAUUGCGAAGGCAGGUUGCUACUGGUGGAUUGACGCUGAUGGACGAAAGCGUGGGUAGCGAACAGGAUUAGAUACCCUGGUAGUCCACGCCGUAAACGAUGGAUACUAGCUGUUGGGGGCAACCUCAGUGGCUAAGCGAAAGUGAUAAGUAUCCCACCUGGGAG
This 867-nucleotide ribosomal RNA is filed under the name uncultured bacterium. RNAcentral's name for it is "bacterial SSU rRNA". It matches the Rfam family "Bacterial small subunit ribosomal RNA", at positions 9 to 873 of the family's 1533-position model. The record is from RNAcentral.